AGAAAGAUACGUUUUCUUCAGGAAUUUCAAUACACGAGGUAUUUAUGUAUGCCUCUGAGUCUAUUUUGUUACUACAAGUUGAAAUGAUGAAUUGGUUACUCAACACUAACCAAAGUAACCCUAAACAUCAUUGGACAAAUUAACUUGAUUGGAAUCAACUUGUUUUGAAUCUAGACCAUUGGAAAUCCAUUGUAGCCCAGUCCACAUCUACCCUUGGCAGACAAAAGGACACUCUCCACCCACCAGUCCCUCCCACAAGGUGACUGAAGGUGACCACCCUGUGCUCACAACAGCUUUUCUCCCACUCACCGAGGGCUGGUUACCACCUGCCACCUUGUUGGGGGUCCACAGAAUGCAAACUGAUUCCCUCAUUAAUGGACUGUGGCCCAGGCCCAUGAAAACUCACAGAGAGAAGAAAUGUGUGUAAUGUCUAGUGAAUGAGUGGUCAUUUUCUGUAGUUAGUGGUCACUUCUGGCUGCUGCCAACAUGUUCUGUUCAGCUGCCCAUCAGAUGUGCCCUUACGUUGCACACAGUUAUUCCGGGUCAGUGCCUGUCUGUCCUUAUAAUAAAAUGCAUGGGCUUUGUGGCAGCUGCUUGCCACUCUGAGGUCAUUCUGGUUCACUUAAGUGGGCAGCAUUUAAGCAAGUGAACAAGUCUUAAACCCAGCCCUCAUACCUGCUGCUCCCCUGGUCCUCUCCAUUCCUCUGGAUGGCUGGCGACAGAAGGGCUCCACACGCCCUCCAGCAGCUGCUCUCACUAACUCCUCUGCUCUCCAACUCUGCUCUGACCAGGUGGGUCCCCCUGGCUGAAGUGCUGUAUCCCCUUCAUUCACAACGUCUUCCUGGACCCCGAGAUAUACUCUGCCUCCACACUGAGAAAGGCAGUGGGGUCGAGGGGCAAGAUUGCUGCUUUUGGAGCUAGAUGAGACCUGACUCCACCUCCUCCUGGCUGUGUGACCUUGGGCAAGCCAUCAACCUCUCUGAGCCAUACUGUCUCCUCUGUAAAAUGGGGAUCAAACAGCAUCAACGUACAGGAUUGUUAGGAAGACUAAGUGGAAGAAGUUAACUACAUGAUGACCAGACUGUAGCCAUGACAUAAGCUGCCACAAUUCUGAGAACUGGCCUCAAAGGAAUGGGAAGAAACGGACCGUGGAACUAAAGACCGUGUUAGGUAGCUAGUCAGACGUGAGUGGGUCCCGCCCCAUCCUGGAUGGGGUCAUCUUUCCCUCCCCACCUGGACACUGGUGACCAGAACAUGCCCAGAGAUCCUCCCUUUUUGUGGUUAAGGACCGCUAAGUUUCCAGCCUUAUGAGGACCAAGCAAGAUAUUGAAAACCCAACAGGGUUUUCCAAACCAUCAGCACC
Non-coding RNA from Delphinapterus leucas (beluga whale), 1363 nucleotides. The record is from RefSeq and is a predicted model, not a curated record. Lineage: Eukaryota; Metazoa; Chordata; Mammalia; Artiodactyla; Monodontidae.